RNAcentral lists this ribosomal RNA (816 nucleotides) under uncultured bacterium. RNAcentral describes it as "bacterial SSU rRNA". It matches the Rfam family "Bacterial small subunit ribosomal RNA", at positions 8 to 807 of the family's 1533-position model. The record is from RNAcentral.
AGAGUUUGAUCCUGGCUCAGGAUGAACGCUAGCGACAGGCUUAACACAUGCAAGUCGAGGGGCAGCGGGGUAGGAAGCUUGCUUUCUGCCGCCGGCGACCGGCGCACGGGUGAGUAACACGUAUGCAACCUGGCCGUGACAGAUGGAUAACCGGGAGAAAUCCCGCCUAAUACAACAUAAUGCCGGGAGGGGACAUCCCCUGCCGGCCAAAGGGGGCGACCCCGGUCACGGAUGGGCAUGCGGCGCAUUAGGUAGUUGGUGGGGCAACGGCCCACCAAGCCGACGAUGCGUAGGGGUUCUGAGAGGAAGGUCCCCCACAUUGGAACUGAGACACGGUCCAAACUCCUACGGGAGGCAGCAGUGAGGAAUAUUGGUCAAUGGCCGGAAGGCUGAACCAGCCAAGUCGCGUGAGGGAAUAAGGCCCUACGGGUCGUAAACCUCUUUUGCCAGGGAGCAAUGCCGUCCACGUGUGGACGGAAGGAGAGUACCUGGAGAAAAAGCAUCGGCUAACUCCGUGCCAGCAGCCGCGGUAAUACGGAGGAUGCGAGCGUUAUCCGGAUUUAUUGGGUUUAAAGGGUGCGUAGGCGGCCUGCCAAGUCAGCGGUAUAAUUGCGGGGCUCAACCCCGUACAGCCGUUGAAACUGCCGGGCUCGAGUGGGCGAGAAGUAUGCGGAAUGCGUGGUGUAGCGGUGAAAUGCAUAGAUAUCACGCAGAACCCCGAUUGCGAAGGCAGCAUACCGGCGCCCGACUGACGCUGAGGCACGAAAGUGCGGGGAUCAAACAGGAUUAGAUACCCUGGUAGUCCGCACAGUAAAC